This 16803-nucleotide long non-coding RNA is filed under the name Homo sapiens (human). RNAcentral's name for it is "non-protein coding lnc-OR4D9-1:3". The stretch from base 13724 to 13806 matches the Rfam family "tRNA". Lineage: Eukaryota; Metazoa; Chordata; Mammalia; Primates; Hominidae. The record is from RNAcentral.
AGCCGGAGGUGGUUGAGGGCUCCUGUAGUCCCAGCUACUCGGGAGGCUGAGGCAGAAGAAUCGCUUGAACCCCGGGAGGCGGAGGUUACAGUCUGUUUCUUAGAAGUGGACACGUGAACUCUUACACAGAUCAAGAGGAGCAGCUCUGUAAAUAUUUCCCUGAGGUACGUCUGGUGCAGUCCUCUAGGGCCCCACAGAUCAGAGUUGGAAACUUCUGCUAUGGCAUUGAAUCCGCCACAUCACCUAGCGGUUUAAUGACAAUGCAAAAUCCUAGGCACCAUCUGCAGAAGAUUAAAUAGUUCUGUCCUAGAUACUAGGAAUCUACAUUUUUAGCCAGCUCACCCUUCCUUUCCCUGUCUCAUCCAUGAUUCUGAGGCUGGCGACCUGUGUUAUCACACUUUGAGAAACCGUUCCAAAGUCAAUGUUUUUCAAACUGCAGAUCCUGACAUUCCAAGGAGUGUGAUUUCAUUUUAGUAGGUCUGGACAUGCUUUGUUUUAAUGAAAUAGGAUAGUCUAGGGUAGCAUAAAAAAUUAUACAAUUUGCCCGGUGCGGUGGCUCACGCCUGUAAUCCCAGCACUUUGGGAGGCCAAGGCAGGCAGAUCACUUGAGGUCAGGAGUUCCAGACCAGCCUGGCAACAUGACGAAACUCCGCCUCUACUAAACAUGCAAAAAGUUAGCUGGACAUGGUGGCGCAUGCCUGUCAUCCCAGCUACUCAGGAGGCUGAGGCAGGAGAAUCGGUUGAACCCAGGAGGUGGAGGUUGCAGUGAGCUCAGAUAGCACCACUGCACUCCAGCCUGGGCAACACAGCGAGACUCAGUCUCAAAAAAAAAAAGAAAAAGUAUACAAUUCAUUGAAUAUAUAUAUAUGGUAUCAAGAGACAACCUAUGGAAUGGGAGAAAAUAUUUGUGAACCAUGUAUGGUUCAGAUGUGUCUGAAAAGAGGUUACUAUCCAAAAUAUAUAAGGGACUCAAACAAUUCAAUAGCAAAAACAAACCAAAAAUAACCCCAUUGAAAAUGGUCAAAGGAUCUGAAUAGACAUUUCUCAAAAGAAGACAUACAGAUGGCCAAUAGAUAUAUAAAAAAAUGCUCUACAUCACUAAUCAUCAGAGAAAUAUAAAUCAGAACCACAAUGUUGUACCACCUUAUGCAUGUUAGUAUGCCUAGUAUCAAAAUGAUGAAAGACAACAAGCGUUGGCAAGGAUGUGGAGAAAAGGGAACCCUUGAAUACUGUUGGUGAGAAUGUAAAUUAGUAUAGCUAUUAUGGAAAACAGUAUGGAGAUUCCUCAAAAAUUAAAAAUAGAACUACCAUACAAUCCAGUAUUCCCACCACUGGGUAUAUAUCCAAAGGAAAUAAGACCAGUAUGUCAAAGAGGUAUCUGCACUUCCAUGUUCACUGCAGCAUUAUUCAUAGUAGCCAAGAUAUGUAAUCAACCAUCAACCUAAAUGUCCAUCAAUGAAUGAAUGGAUAUAUAUAUAUAUCCAUAUAGAGAGAGAGAGAGAGAAUGAUUGAAUGGAUCAUAUAUAUGAUAUAUAUAUGAUAUAUAUGAUGAAGGAUGAUUUCCUUCAUCCAUAAAAUGAAGGAAAUCUGGUCAUCUGCAACAGCAGAAUGAAAUUGGAAGACAUUUUAUUAAGUGAAAUAAGCCAGGCUCAGAAAGACAAAUACUGUGUGCUCUCAUAUAUAUGUAGAAUCUGGAAAAAAAUGUUGAACUUACAGAAGCAGAGAGUAGAAUGGUGGCUACCAGAGGCUGGGAAGUGGGGGGACUGAGGAGAUAUUGGUCAAAGGAUAUAAACUUUUAGCUAGACAGGAGGAAUAACUUCAAGAGAUCUAUCAUAUAUCACCGUGACUAUAAUUAGUAACAAUAUAUUGUAUACUUGAAAAUUCUGGCCAGGUGCAGUGGCUCAUGCCUGUAAUCCCAGCACUUUGGGAGGCUGAGGCGGGUGGAUCGCUUGAGGUCAGGAGUUCCAGACCAGCCUGGCUAACAUGGUGAAACCCCAUCUCUACUAAAAAUACAAAAAUUAGCUGGGCGUGGUGGCAUGAGCCUGUAAUCCCAGCUACUCAGGAGGCUGAGGCAGGAGAAUUGCUUGAAUCCAGGAGGUGGAGGUUGCAGUGAGCCGAGAUCAUGCCACUACACUCCAGCCUGGAUGGCAGAGUGCGACUCCAUCUCAAAAAAAAAAUAAAUAAAUAAAUAAAUAUAUAUAUAUAUACAUAUAUAUAUAUAUAUAUAUAUGAGUAGAUUUUAAGCGUUCUCACUACAAAGUAAUUCAUAUGUUAAUUAGCUUUUAUCUGGGUAUUGCACAAUAAAUACAUAUAUCAAAGCAUCGUGUUAUAUAACAUACACCUAUAUGUAUUAGUCCGUUCUCAUAUUGCUAUAAAGAACUACCUGAGAGUGGGUAAUUUAUGAAGAAAAAAAUUUAAUUGAUUCACAGGCUGUACAGGAAGCACAGCUGGGGAGGCCUCAGGAAACUUACAAUCAUGGCAGAAGGCAAAGGGAAAACUGGCACAUUUUAUAUGGCUGGAGCAGGAGGAAGAGAGAAGUGCUACACACUUUUAAACAACCAGAUUGCAUGAGAACUCACUAUCAAGAGAACAGCAAGGGGAAAAUCCGCUCCCAUGAGCCAGUCACCUCCCACCAGGUCCCUCCUCCAACCCUGGGGAUUACAAUUCAACAUGAGAUUUGGGUGGGGACACAGAGCCAAACCAGGCAAUAUACAGCUUUUGACGAUUAAGAAUUAAUUACUUUUCUAAAGAAUCAUUUCCUGAAACCUUUAUUGCAGAUAUAUAUGUAAAUAUAAUCACCUUAAUGUGCAUAAAAUAUAUUUCUUUUUUGUUGCCCAGGCUGGAGUGCAGUGGCACGAUCUCGGCUGACUGCAACCUCCUUCUCCUGGGUUCAAGCAAUUCUCUUACCUUAACCUCUCAAGUAGCUAGGAUUACAGUCAUGUGCCACCACGCCCAGCUAAUUUUGUACUUUUAGUAGAGAUGGGGUUUUACUGUGUUAGCCAGGCUGGUCUCAAACUCCUGACUUCACAUGAUCCGCCCACCUCAGCCUCCCAAAAUGCUGGGACUACAGGCAUGAGCCACCGUGCCCAGUAUAAAAUAUAUUUCUUAGUAUGUGUUUGAUAUGGUUUGGGUGUCCCCCACCCUAAAUCUCAUGUUGAAAUGUAAUCCCCAAUGCUAGAGGUGGGGCCUGGAGGGAGGUGAUUGGAUCAUUAGUUCUAAUGGUUUAGCACCAUCUCCCUAGUGCUGUUCUCAUGAUAGGGUUCUCCCAAGAUCUGGUUGUUUAAAAGUGUAUAGCAUCAGGCCAGGCAUGGUGGCUUUAUGAUGUGAUUCCUCAGGCCUAUGGGGUUGCUUCAACAUAAGAUGCUGAUGACAGUGAAUGCCUGAAACCACUUGGUCCUUGGGAGCUUCACCUUCUAUAUUCUUAGACUUGCAUACUUGCUGGAAUAUCCUGGUUUAUCCAGAGAGGCCCACUGAUCUUCAGGAUCCAGGAUAUGGCUGGAUCAUCACUACUGGUGGGCUCCUGUAGUCCCAGCUACUCGGGAGGCUGAGGCAGAAGAAUUGCUUGAACGCUGCAGGCAGUUUUCUGUUUCUGUUUUUGUGUUUUAAUUAUUCUAACAAAUGUGUAGUGGUAUUUUAUUAUGAUUUUCAUGUGCAUUUUCCUAAUAACUAAUAGUGCUAAUUAUCUUUUUAUGUUCUUAUUUCCCAUCUGUAUAUUUUCUUUGGUGAAAUGUCCAUAUUUAUGCCCAUUUUUUAUUAGGUUGUUUUUCUUCCCUAAUUGUAAGAGGGUUUGUUGUUUUUUUUUUAAGUCUGAAUAAUAGACUUUUACCAGACAAGUCUUUUGCAAUUUUUUUUCUUCCAAUCUGUGACUUGUCUUUUCCUUUAGCAAUGUCUUUAGAGGAGCAAAAGUUGUCAUUUUGAUGAGGUCAGAUUUAUCAAUUGUUUUUUAGUUUCUGGAUCAUACUUACUGUGUCUCGCUUAAGAAAUUUUGCCCAACCAUUGAUUACAAACUUUUCUCCUAUAUGUUCCUCUGGAAGAAAUACCUAAUAAUUUCAAGUUUUACAUUUUGCUGUAUGAUAAACCCUGCCUUUUUGAAGCUUAAAAGAUAGUGAUCUCUAACAAGACAUUCCCCUGCAAACUGUGUGCUGUGUUUGAAAAUCUUCAAAGACAAACUUCAGGAAAGGCUGAUCAGUUUUUCUUUGACGGAUAAAAAUCAAUUACAGGCCGGGCACCGUGGCUCACGUCUGUAAUCGCAGCACUUUGGGAGGCCGAGGCAGGCGGAUCACCUGAGGUCAGGAGUUCGAGAUCAGCCUGACCAACAUGGUGAAAUCCCGUCUCUACUAAAAAUAUAAAAAAAUUAGCCAGGCGUGGUGGCGGGUGCCUGUAAUCCCAGCUACUCGGGAGGCUGAGGCAGAGAAUUGCUUGAACCCGGGAGGCAGAGGUUGCAGUGAGCCAAGAUUGCGCCACUGCACUCCAGCCUGAGUGACAGAGCAAGAACUCCGUCAAAAAAAAACAAAAAAAUCAAUUACAAAAGAAGUUGAAUUAAAUUUACUUCAUGAGAAGACCAAAUUUUUAAAUAUUAAAAAGGUCUUUUUCUCAAAAACACAUUUGAUUGGAUAUGCAUGAACCACAUGCCAAUUACAGAUUGGGAACCAGCUGGGGUACUGACAAAUGCUGUCCUUGACCAGACUUCAGUCAGACUUCUCUGAGCCCUCUUCUCGACUAGGCCUAGACCUUGGCCUCAGUCCCAUCCUCAGCUUGCAGAUAGUCCAGUUUUUUUAAGUAUCCUUCUAACUCAAUGUAUCAGAAAUCCCUCUGACCCUUGAUAUCUGAUCACCCUUGUCCACCCUCAGCAAGAAUCCUGUUAAUUCAGCAAGAAUCCUGAUAAUACCGAGAAUCCCCUUACCCCUGAUGUCUCCUGUUACUAAUUUUCCAUCCACUGACCCCACCCCACCCCAAUUCUGCUCCUUUGCUGUAAAUUCCCAGCUGUCUCUACCACAUUUGGAGUUAAGCCCAAUCUGUCUCUUCUCUUGCAAUAAUCUUUUCUUUAAGAAUACCUCCUGGGAGUAGGAGAGAGAAAUAUAUAAAAAUAAAUAACAAACCAAGUGUGGUGGCUUAUGGCUUUAAUCCCAGUACUCUGAGAAGCUGAGGCAGGAGGAUUGCCUGAGCCCAGAAGUUGAGACCACGGUGGGCAACAUAACAAGACCCUGUCUGUCUAAAAAUUUUUAAAAAUUAGCCGGGCAUUGGCCGGGCAUGGUGGCUCACACUUGUAAUCCCAGCACUUUGGGAGGCCGAGGUGGGUAGAUCACGAGGUCAGGAGUUCGAGACCAGCCUGACCAGCAUGGUGAAACCCAGUCUCUACUAAAAAUACAAAAAAUUAGCCGGGCGUAGUGGCACGUGCCUGUAAUCCCAGCUACUGGGGAGGCUGAGGCAAGAAAAUCGCUUGAACUCAGGAGGCGGAGGUUGCAGUGAGCCGAAAUCUUGCCAUUGCACUCCAGUCUGUGCCACAAAGCAAGAGUCGGUCUCCAGAAAAAAAAAAAAAAAAAAGCCGGGUGUGGAGAAUGUGCCCCUAUAGUCCCAGCUGCUUGGGAGGCUAAGGCAGGAGGAUGGCUUGAGCCCAGGAGUUGGAGGCUGCAGUGGGCUGUGAUUGCAUCACUGUACUCCAGCCUGGGUGACAGAGCAAGACCCUGUCUCUAAAAUAAUAUAAAUAAUAAGUAGCAAGAUGCCCUGACCUCCUUCACCUUCACACCACAAAACUGAAUGGGCCUGGAAGGGUUGACCAGUGCCACUGAGGCUGCAGCUGAAGUCAAGAAAGCAUUGCAGAAAAAAAUUGUAUCCAAACUGUCAAGAACAGGGAGUAGUUGGUUUUAUUUUAUUUUAUUUUAUUUUAUUUUAUUAUACUUUAUGUUCUAGGGUACAUGUGCACAAAGUGCAGGUUUGUUACAUAUGUAUACAUGUGCCAUGUUGGUGGGCUGCACCCAUUAACUCAUCAUUUAACAUUAGGUAUAUCUCCUAAUGCUAUCCCUCCCCCUUCCCCCCACCCCAAAACAGGCCCUGGUGUGUGAUGUUCCCCUUCCUGUGUCCAAGUGUUCUCAUUGUUCAAUUCCCACCUAUAAGUGAGAACAUGCAGUGUUUGGUUUUUUGUCCUUGCAAUAGUUUGCUGAGAAUGAUGGUUUCCAGCUUCAUCCGUGUCUCUACAAAGGACAUGAACUCAUCGUUUUUUAUGGCUGCAUAGUAUUCCAUGGUGUAUAUAUGCCACAUUUUCUUAAUCCAGUCUAUCAUUGAUGGACAUUUGGAUUGGUUCCAAGUCUUUGCUAUUGUGAAUAGUGCCACAAUAAACAUACAUGUGCAUGUGUCUUUAUAGCAACAUGAUUUAUAGUCCUUUGGGUAUAUACCCAGGAAUGGGAUGGCUGGGUCAAAUGGUAUUUCCAGUUCUAGAUCCUUGAGGAGUCGCCACACUGUCUUCCACAAUGGUUGAACUAGUUUACAGUCCCACCAACAGUGUAAAAGUGUUCCUAUUUCUCCACAUCCUCUCCAGCACCUGUUGUUUCCUGACUUUUUAAUGAUCACCAUUCUAACUGGUGUGAGAUGGUAUCUCAUUGUAGUUUUGAUUUGCGUUUCUCUGAUGGCCAGUGAUGAUGAGCACUUUUUCAUGUGUCUGUUGGCUGCAUAAAUGUCUUAUUUUGAGAAGUGUCCGUUUAUAUCCUUUGCCCACUUUUUGAUGGGGUUGUUUGAUUUUUUCUUAUACAUUUGUUUAAGUUCUUUAUAGAUUCUGGAUAUUAGCCCUUUGUCAGAUGGGUAAAUUGUACAAAUUUUCUCCCAUUCUUUAGGUUGCCUGUACACUUGAUGGUAGUUUAUUUUGCUGUGCAGAAGCUCUUUAGCUUAAUGAGAUCCCAUUUGUCUAUUUUGGCUUUUGUUGCCAUUCCUUUUGGGGUUUUAGUCAUGAAGUCCUUGCCCAUGCCUAUGUCCUGAAUGGUAUUGCCUAGGUUUUCUUCUAGGGUUUUUAUGGCUUUAGGUCUAACAUUUAAGUCUUUAAUCCAUCUUGAAUUAAUUUUUGUAUAAGAUGUAAGGAAGGGAUCCAGUUUCAGCUUUCUACAUAUGGCUAGCCAGUUUUCCCAGCACCAUUUAUUAAAGAGGGAAUCCUUUCCCCACUUCUUGUUUUUGUCAGGUUUGUCAAAGAUCAGAUGGUUGUAGAUGUGUGGUAUUAUUUCUGAGGGCUCUGUUCUGCUUCAUGGGUCUAUAUCUGUUUUGGUACCAGUACCAUGCUGUUUUGGUUACUGUAGCCAAGUUCGUUUUAAAGAUAAUAAUGAGGGUAGGGGAGAAGAUACCAGAAAGACGACAAGGGCUGGGGCACCAGGGAAGGGAGGAAAUGAAGCAAAAGAUAGGCUGGAGAGGGAGAUGAAAUCUCAGAGGGCUCUUGUGGGUGAGGAGAUGGAACGUGACAUUUACACUUUAGAGAAGUCACUCUGUUUGCUGUGUGAAGCAUUGAUUGGAGUGUGCAAAACUGGAGACAGGGACACACUUGGUAUUCCAGGACAGAGACGACAGAAACCUGAACUAAGUAGCAAAAUGGAGGAGAAGUCGUUGUGAAACCGCCCAAUGGGCUCACCUUACCCACUGCCUAAACAGAGCCGAUUCCUCAAGACAGGGGAAUCGCAAUAAAGAAAUAGCCAUUCACGCAAAGCCGGCUGAGCGGGAGACCGGAGUUUUAUUUUUACUCAAAUCAGUCUCCCCGAACAUUUGGGGAUCAAAGUUUUUAAAGAGAAUGUGGUGGGAGUGCAGGAGCAGUGAGUUGGAGAGUGCUGAUUGGUUGGGUCGGAGGUGAAAUUACGGCGCGUCCCUGUCUUCCUGCGCUGAGUCAGUUCCUGGGUGUGAGUCACAAGAUCAGAUGGGCCGGUUUCUCGAUAUGGGUGGUGCCAGUUGAUCCAUCAAGAGUAGAGUCUGCAAAACAUCUCAGGCACUGAUCUUGGGAGCAGUUUAGGGAAGGUCAGAAUCUUGUGGCCUCCAACUACUUGACUCCUAAACCGUAAUUUCUAAUACUGUGGCUAACUUUAGUAGUCUAGUCUCCAGGCAAGAAGGGAGUUUGUUCUGGGAAAGGGCUGUUAUUGUCAUUUUUUAAAACUAUAAACUAAGUUCCUCCCAAAGUUUUUUCAGCCUGCGCCCAGAAAUGAACAAGGACAGCUUGGAGGUUAGAGGCAAGAUGGAGUCGUUUAAGUUGGACCUCUUUCACUGUCUCAGUCAUAAUUUUGCAAAGGCGGUUUCAGUUGCAGACAAAAGGAUCCGCAGGCUCCAGUGACUGUCUGCAUGGCGGGAGAAAACACAAGGUAAUCGCUCAGUGUCUGGCUGGAGUCCUGGGUAGAUGGUGAUAUCAUUCACCAAGAAGGGAAAUAACAGAAGGAGCCCAUGUUUGGGGGGAAAAUUAUAUGUUCUGUUUUAACAACUUAGGCUAUGGGUUGAAUUCUGUCCCCUUGAAAUUCAUAUGUUUAAGUCCCAACCCCCAGUACCUUAGAACAUAACUUUAUUUGGAGACAGGAUCUUUACAGAGGUAAAGUUAAAGUAAAGUUAAGAUAAAGGUAACGUUAAAAUGUGGUUAUUAGGGUAGGCCCUGAUACUAUAUAAUUGGUGUCCCUUACAAAAAGGGGAAAUUUGGAGACCAAGAUGCCCAUAAAGGGAAGACGGUGUGAAGCGAUAGAGACAGAGGACAAUGAUUUACAAGCCAAGGAGCAAACAGAUUUGAUAUGCUUAGCAAUUAGCAUUUUCUAGAAAUGUCCCCAAGGAAAAGCCUUAUUGUUCUACGCAAAUUGAACCAGACUUACCUGGCAAUACAAUAACAGUAGAUGACAUUUACUCUGUGCUUACUAUACACAGAUCAUUUAAUCCUAGCACUUUGGAAGGCUAAGGUAGGCGGAUUACCUGAGGCUGGGAGUUCAAGACCAGCCUGGCCAACAUGGUGAAACCCGGUCUCUACUAAAAAUACAAAAAUUAGCUGGGCGUGGUGGCAGGUGCCUGUAAUCCCAGCUACUCGGGAGGCUGAGGCAGGGUAAUAGCUUGAGCCCAGGAGGUGGAGGUUGCAGUGAGCUGAGAUUGUGCCAAUGCACUUCAGCCUGGCCUGGCCAACAGAGCGAGACUGUCUCAAAAAAUAAUAAUAAUAAUAAAUUAAUUAAUAAUAAAUAAAUCUUCUCCAGAAUCAUGUGAGCUAUUGUCCCCAUUUUAGAGGAGGAAGCUAGCCCAUAGCAGUUAAGCAACUAGCCCAAGGUCACAUAGACUGGUAUAUACUGUGGUAAGUUCACACAACCAAGAGGAGAUAACACUGAACCUCGAUUUGGCUCUGGGGUUGCCUGUGUUGAAUCUCUGGAGUCUACACCACACUGCCCAAAACUAUGCUGUUUAUGAGAAGGGAACUAACCCAACCUAAGGAACGCAGGAAAGCAGAAGGGAGUUUGAUGAACUCAAGGAGGAUGUGCAGGAAAGUCUAGGUCAGCAGAACUUCUGGAAAGUUCUAAGGAAAGGACAUUAAGCAACAUGUUACAGGCAGGACCAGCUUCAUUUCUGGAAUUGUUGGGAUUUUACCAGGGUGACCGAUUUAUGCAUACACACCUAGAUUAUCCAGAGUGCUAUAUAAAAUCCCUUUAAAGAAGUCCAUCUUUCCUAUCUCAUGCCAGUUAUAGAAAUUUCAUAUGGAUCAAAGUGGUACCGGAAAGGGGUCCCAAUCCAGACCCCAAGAGAGGGUUCAUGGAUCUUGCACAAGAAAGAAUUCAGGGCAAGUCCAUAAAGUAAAGUGAAAGCAAGUGUAUUAAGAAAGUAAAGGAAUAGGACAGGCGCGGUAGCUCAUGCCUGUAAUCCCAGCACUUUGGGAGGCCAAGGAGAGUAAAUCACCUGAGGUCAAGGAGUUCAAGACCAGCCUGGCCAACAUGGUGAAACCCCAUCUCUACUAAAAAUACAAAAAUUAGCCCGGCGUGGUGGCUCGUGCCUGUAGUCUCAGCUACUGAGGAGGCUGAGGCAGGAGAAUCACUUGAACUCAGGAGGUGGAGGUUACAGUGAGUCGAGAUUGCACCACUGCACUCCAGCCUGGGCGACAAAGCAAGACUCCAUCACCAAAAAAAAGAAAAAGAAAAAGAAAAAGAAAAAAAAGCAAAGGAAUAAAGAAUCACUACUCCUUAGGCAGAGCAGCCCACUAGGGCUGCUGGCUGUCCACCUUUAUGGUCAUUUCCUGAUUAUAUGCUAAACAAGGGGUGGAUUAUUCAUGAGUUUUCUGGGAAAGUGGGGGACAAUUCCCAGAACUGAGAGUUCCUCAUCUUUUUAGACCAUAUAGGGUAACUUCCUGACAUUGUCAUGGCAUCUGUAAACUGUCAUGGUGCUGGUGGGAGUGUCUUUUAACAUGUUAAUGCAGUAUAAUUAGCAUAUAAUGAGCAGUGAGGGCACCAGAGGUCACUCUCUUUGCCAUCCUGGUUUUGUGGGUUUUGGCCAGCUUCUUUACCACAGCCUGUUUUAUCAGAAAGGUCUUUAUGACCUGUAUCUUGUGCCGACCUCCUAUCUCAUCCUGUGACUUAGAAUGCCUUAAUCUCCUGGGAAUGCAGCCCAGUAGGUCUCAGCCCUAUUUUACCCAGCCCCUAUUCAAGAUGCAGUUGCUCUGGUUCCAAGGCCUCUGACAGAAGGUUGAAACAUUAGAAAAUGUUUAACUAUACAACAAUCAGGAGAAAAUAUAGAAUAAUUUUUGAAAUAUAAUCUCAAAGUGAGUAAGUAUUUUCUAGGCAGGAAAUGUUAAAAGCCCCUCUCCUGCACCCCCCCCAAAAAGAUGAUGAAAUUGACUUCAAAAAAAUGUUUAAUUUCUACAUCGCACGGAAUAUCAAAAAUAUAAUCAAAAGACAAAUGGCAACUCUGGAUACAUUUGCAAAAUAUAUCCUAAAUCUGAAUUUACAAAGAGCACCUAAAAACCUAUUUAUUUAUUUAUUUAUUUAGAGACGGAGUCUCGCUCUGUCACCAGGCUAGAGUACAGUGGCACGAUCUCGGCUCACCGCAACCUCCGCCUCCCAGGUUCAAGCGAUUCUCCUGCCUCAGCCUCCUGAGUAGCUGGGAUUACAGGUGCAUGCCACCACACCCAGCUAAUUUUUGUAUUUUUAGUAAAGACAGGGUUUCACCAUGUUGGCCAGGAUGGUCUCGAUCUCUUGACCUCAUGAUCCGCCCUCCUCGGCCUCCCAAAGUGCUCAGAUUACAGGCGUGAGCCACUGCGCCCGGCCUAAAAACCAAUUUAAACAUAAAUUAACAGAAUAUAUACAUAAGAAAAUUGAACAAAAGAGGUGAACAGAUAGUAGGAAGAAAGGAAGCUUUUAAGUACAUGAAAAACGUUCAACCUAACUCACAAUAAAAAAACACAAAAUAAACCAUUUCCAGCUGACUCAAAAUUCAGUUAUUUUCAUUUGAGAGAGACAGGAAGAACAAGGGCUUUCAUAUUGGUGUGAGUGUAAUUUGAUACAAGCUGUUUUGAAAGGAGCUGUGGCAGGGUUGGUGGGGACGAGCAGGGAGGUUGGUGGGACGGGUUUGCAGAGGGCGUCUCACUUUUUUGCCCAAGCUGGUUUCAAACUCCUGGGUUCAAGCCAUGCUUCCACCUCGGCCUCCCAAAGUGCUGGGAUUACAGGUGUGAGCCAGUGCGCCCAGCCAUCAAUUAAAUUUCUUCUGAGACAUAAAGGCAACACUCUUCUUGCUUGGGUUGGUACUGUGUUCUGUCCCUGACCAGGGGUGUAACCCUGGGCCAUUUCUUAAUCUCAUUAUGCUUCCUCUCCCUCGUCUGUAAAACGGGAUAAAUAAUAAUAGAGACAUUGUGAACAUUAAGUUAGCUACCCAUGUAAGUGCCUGUUCAAGGUUUUGCUAGGAUUAUUUUACAUAUUGCCCUGCCUGAAACCAAGGAACAAGGAAAUCUGCUCAGCAUUGUUCCUAAGACUAGAUACAAUUUAAGUGUUCAUCAAAAGGCAUAAAGAAUUGUGAUAUAUCCAAACACAGGAAGUAAAAGGAUAAGCGAAGAUGUAUGAACGAAAUAGGAAGAUUUUCAGAAUAUUGUUGAGGAAAUGGGAGCGGUACCUAUGUGUGCUACCUUCGUACAAAAAGCGUGAAGUGGGUUUUAAAGUAAAUGUACGUGUAUACUGGUGAAUGCAUAGACAAUUUCUGAAGGGUCACAAAAGAAACAGCUAACCAUUGAAAGAUGGGAUGGAAACAUCAGUUGUGAAAUACGUGGAGGGAUUCUGAAUUCUGUGCAUGAAAUUAAUUUUUCAAAAAGCUUUUUUUUUUUUUUUUUUUUUUUGAGACGGCUCUCUCCCAGGCUGGAGUGCAGUGGCGCGAUCUCGGCUCACUGCAAGCUCCGCCUGCCGGGUUCACGCCAUUCUCCUGCCUCAACCUCCCGAGUAGAGUAGCUGGGACUACAGGCACCCGCCACCACGCCUGGCUAAUUUUUUUGGUAUUUUUAGUAGAAACGGGGUUUCACCGUGUUAGCCAGGAUGGACACGAUCUCCUGACCUCGUGAUCCGCCCGCCUCAGCCUCCCAAAGUGCUGGGAUUACAGGCAUGAUCCACCGCGCCUGGCCUCAAAAAGCAUUUUUAAUUUAAAUAAAUAAAGUAUGAGGGCGGCCUUCGUGAUGUCCUUCGACUUAGUGGUGGCAAUUUUUAGAGAUGGCCCAAGCAAGGCUUAGGAGAAGGUAGGUGAGCCAAGGGGCAACACCCAGGAACCCAGAAGCCGGCUGGCCAGGUAGUGGAAAGGCGCAGGCGCAGGGGCGAGCGAAGCCUCGGUGGAGCGGAGCCGCCUGCACCUCCAGAGAGGCGCCAUACGGGGGCCGCCGCGGAGGCCGACUCAGCGCCGAGCGCUAAGAGAAACCGGGCUGAUGCAGCAGGCGGGAAACAAGCCGUAGAAAUUCUUGAGACACGGGUUCGUCGCCAGCUUCCUGGUGCAAAACCCAACACCUGGCUCACAAAACGCUAGGUAACAUCUCAUGGUUCCACUGGGGCUCGAACCCAGGACCUUCUGCGUGUAAAGCAGACGUGAUAACCACUACACUAUGGAACCCCACACGACUAAAACGUUCCUCCAGGAUUUGAUAAUUGUUCAAAAAGACAUUUUGGCACUGGGAAAUGGUCAUGUAGACUUGACAUCCGGCGAUUGUGCACAGAGAAAAACUUUCAAAAGGAUUCCUCAUUUUCCAGUAUUCAGAGGAGCACGACCGCACAGAAACAUUGUCAAAAUGUCUGCGUCUCCAGCUUCCUGAACCAAAACCCACGAUUGGGCUCGCAAAAUGUUAAUACUAAACAUUAUAAAGAAAGGAAAGAAAAGAAAAAGGUAUGAAUCACGCCGUGUCCCACCAGAGUCGCUUUUUGUUUGAAGAAGAGCAAACGGAAAGUUAGGCGGAGGGAAUGGAUAUAAAAUAGAUGAAACGAGAACUGUCUACCAUUUAAAAUUUCCGGAAUGAUGUGAAUUGCAGCUAAUUGCAGUUCCUGGUUAUGUCCCUUCACUUGAAGGCGUAAAGAAUCCCGUUCCUCUAUCGAGCCUUUUCUCCUUCACUUUUACCUGGCCCCAGUUUCUAGUGGCGAGAUAAAGAAAUUAGGGAAAUAUAAUCAAAGUUACCAAGUUUUUUCCCCAUAUUAUUCUUUUAUAUCAGGAAAAAAAGUAAUUUUAAAUUGUUCCGAAACUUUAGUCGCCUAGUGUUACCCGAGUUGCUUUAAAAUAAAACAUUGUUUUAUCAGUUACCAGAAUGGCCGAGUGGUUAAGGCGUUGGACUUAAGAUCCAAUGGAUUCAUAUCCGCGUGGGUUCGAACCCCACUUCUGGUAAAGAGGAGUUGUUUUUCCUGGCAAAAACCUUUUUUCCUAAUCCUUGACAAUCCAUUUUGCAAUCUUAAGCGUCCAGAUAACAAUAACUAUAGUUAAUAUCAUUUUGCCAGAUACCUUACAUAUAGCGACAGCUUCACAGUUUAUGGUUUGAAAAGUAGAAAGAAAACGUCUGAAAAAAAGAAAGAAAACGUCUGGGUCCAGCUAUAUGGGAGUGAGGGAGCACAGAGCGAGAGGCACAUUGUGCUGCAAAAACGUUCACUCCGAGUCGACAGUUAUUUCUUGAGAUCCUAUUACGUGCCAAGUACUGUUCUAAACACUGGGGUUGUGGUGAUGUAGGUUUGGUUUUUUUUCUUUUAAAGCAAAACAACAAAAAAUACAAGAGCCUUACCAUCAAGACCACUGCCCAAUGUCACUUACAUGACAAAGUGACAGAAGAAAAAUAUGGUUUAAAAACAAGCAGACAGCCGGGCACGGUGGCUGACGCCUGUAAUCCCAGCACUUCGGGAGGACGAGGCGGGUGGAUCACCUGAGGUCAGGAGUUUGAGACAAGCCUGGCCAACAUGGCGAAACUCUCCGUCUCUACUAAAAAUACAAAAAUUAGCCGGGCAUGGUGGCGCGUGUCUGUAAUCCCAGCUACUAGGAGGGCUGAGGCAGGAGGAUCGCUUGAACCUGGGAGGCGGAGGUUGCAGUGAGCCGAGGUGGUGCCACUGCACUCCAGCCUGGGCAACAGAGAGAGACUUCGUCUCAAAAAAAAAAAAAAAAAAAAAAAAAAGCAGACAGGUUUGGUGCGGUGGGGCUCACGCCUGCAAUCCCAGCGCUUUGGGAGGCCAAGGCAGGAGGAUUGCUUGAGGCUAGGGGUUUGCGACCAGCUUGGGCAAGAACGUGAGACACUGUCUAUUUUUAAAAAAAAUUUUUUUAAUUAAAAAUAAAUAAAAACAACUGGACAAAUUGGAGAAUUUGAGAGAUAGCGAUAGGUACUAUACAGAAAAUAAAACAAGGCAGCCCAACAGAAUGGCUUUUCUCAGGACAAACUUAUUCCAUUUGAUUAUGAAAAUCAUCGUCCUUGACAGAAAUGUUCUUCCCCUCUCUCUACCAAACAAAAACUUCCAAGGACUAAUUCUGACCCUCCUCCUCCACUAAAAGCCUUUCCUGACCAAUCACCCUCAUUCAACUCUCCAUUCUUUCAUUCAAGGACAGUUUUUGAGAGCUUUCAGUGAGGCACUGACUCAGGGAUUGCAGAUAUACAGAGAGUUCCUGUCCUCACAGCAGAAACAUUCUAGGAGGAAAACAGAUUCGUUAAACAGGUGUUUAAGGUAGGUUGCAGUGGGCACAGCAACAGAGACAGGCUCAGAGCCCAGUUCCUAACCCUGUCUGGAAAGGAUCAAGCAGGGAUCUCUGGGGCAACUCCUGAACCCUGUCUGUAAAGAUCAGCCAGAACCUUCCACAAAAAAACAAAAAACAAAAAAACAAAAACAAAACCACUGUGGAAUGCUAAUUGAAAUACUAACAGUUCCCUAUGUUGUUGUUUGUUUGUUUGUUUUGACACAGAGUCUUGCUCUGCCGCUCAGGCUGAAGUGCAGUGGCGCCAUCUCUACUCAUUGCACCCUUCAGCUCACCGCAACCUCCGCCUCCCGGAUUCAAGCGAUUCUCUUGUCCCAGCCUCCCGAGUUGCUAGGAUUACCGGCGCGUGCCACCACGCUCGGCUAAUUUUUGUAUUUUUUUGUAGAGGUGGGAUUUCGCCAUGUUGGUUAGCCUUCUCUCGAACUCGUGGCCUCAAGCGAUUCGCCCGCCUCAGCGUCUCAAAAUGUUGGGAUUACAGGUGUGAGCCACCGCAUCCGGCCUACUUCCCAGUGUUAAGCAGUCCACUACCACACAGUUAACACUUGAUACAGUUAAGAGUUUGAGACUUUUGGUCUGUGUUUGGUGCCUAUCAAGCUGGUCAGUCCCAGAACAGGAAACGCAUCUUCAUGCUCUUAUUCAUUCAAAGCUGUACUCAGUGACCAGUGUUACUCAGUUACUGUACUCAGUAACUCAGUGUACCUGGCACUUUUGUAAGAAGUGGAGGUUCACCGGGCGUGGUGGCUCACGCCUAUAAUCCCAGCACUUUGGGACACCGAGGCGGGUGGAUCGCGAGGUCAGGAGUUCGCGACCAGCCUGGCCAGCAUGGUGAAACCCCGUCUCUACUAAAAAUACAAAAAUUAGCCGGGCAUGGUGGCGUGCGCCUUUAAUCCUGGCUACUAAGGAGGCCGAGGAAGGAGAAUAGCUUGACCUCAGGAGGCGGAGGUUGCAGUGAGCUGAGAUUGCGCCACUGCACUCCAGCCUGGGCGACAGAGCGAGACUCCGUCUCAAAAAAAAAAAAAAGAAGAAGAAAAAAAAGAAGUGGAGGUUCAGAGGUUUGGAAAGAAACAGACCAAAGGCUCAUAACCCCGUGGGACUGACCUCACGAGACACAGGCACCUCCUUUCCAAGGGGUCUGGUUUUAGUUUUCUUCCUUGAGCCGAGGCUUGCCAUCUGAUGCCUAGGGAUCCACAUCUUCAUUUGUGAAAACUGCACCUGUCAAAUUUGUGAUUUUUCAAUACCAACAACUCCCAUCCAAAACAAUGAGGCAAGGAGGGAGUCCCGCAGAGGAGGAAGUGUGUGAUUUAACCCUUUUCUUCUGGCUCUUUAUAGAAAAACUUCAAAGGAAGCUUUGAUCUAAGGUGCCACUUCUGCCAUCCCAGAAGCAUGGAAUAUUUUGUUAAUAACAAAUCAUAUUUUUCCCAGCACUUUGGGAGGCUGAGGCAGGCGGAUCACGUGAAGUCAAGAGUUCCAGACCAGCCUGACCAACAUGGUGAAACCCCGUGUCUACUAAAAAUACAAAAAUUAGCCGGGCAUGGUGGCGGGCGCCUGUAGUCCCAGCUACUCAGGAGGCUGAGGCAGGAGAAUCGCUUGAACCCGAGAGGAGGAGGUUGCAGUGAGCCGAGGUCGCGCCAUUGCACUCCAGCCUGGGCGACAAAA